This 864-nucleotide small RNA is filed under the name Pan troglodytes (chimpanzee). RNAcentral's name for it is "processed transcript". Lineage: Eukaryota; Metazoa; Chordata; Mammalia; Primates; Hominidae. The record is from RNAcentral.
GAACAGCUGCGCGCCCGCCUAGCGCUGCGAACGCGGAGUGAGAGGCGCUUCAGAGACUGGAGGGACGGACCUGCAGGAGCCAGGGCUGCCCGCCGAGCUGCAGUUGCCGCUACUGCCGCUGUCAGCGCCCGACUGAAGAGUGACAGCCGCAAAAGCAGGAGUGAGCACCGAACCCCGCGCUUCUACCUAACAGGUGCAUGCACCGAUCUGGUGAGUGGACCCAGCUCGCAAGAUCUCAGGUAACCAUUCAUGAGCCUGAGGCUGUGAGAAAUGCUCGCUGUGCAAAGGGGAACUCUCACCAGAUUUUCUGAAGCUGUUCUAGAAAUACACUUUUCGGAUUGAUUCAGCAUUACCAGCUUAUCCAACAAAAGUAUUAACAUAUACAUUAACAACGUCGAAAGUAGCCUACUUUAAGAGAAAAUAUGCAGAAGAAGAAGAUUUACAUCAAGAUUACCAUGGGUAUUUUCCAAAACACCUGAUAUUACCUGAGGACAGAACUUGCAUUCUCAAACUUUCUCUGGAGAAGCUCAGGUUUCUUGAAGACCCAGAAACCUACUUAAGAAGGUCUGUGUUAAUUAACAAUUUGCUGAGGAAGAUACAUCUAGAGACGGAGAAAGAGAGCUAUGAAUACUUUAAAGAAGCUCCCUGUUAUAAGACUGCAUAUUCUGAUACAAGAAAACGGCUGAAGUUUAUGGUACAGGAAUGCUGUUCUCAGUCUCUCUAUUAUGAAGAGCUGCAUUCGUAUCAUAUUGUGCCUUAUGCUUCGGAGAAUGCCAUUUAUGAAAUGGGCUACACUAGCAGCCACUUGGAGCAAAAUUCUCAGUUGCUUAUUUAUAAAAUGAAUUAAAGUAACUGUUAAGUCCA